UACGGGGGGAGCAAGCGUUGUUCGGAUUUACUGGGCGUAAAGGGCGCGUAGGCGGCACUGCAAGUCAGUUGUGAAAUCUCCGGGCUUAACCCGGAAAGGUCAACUGAUACUGCAGGGCUAGAGUGCAGAAGGGGCAACUGGAAUUCUCGGUGUAGCGGUGAAAUGCGUAGAUAUCGAGAGGAACACCUGCGGCGAAGGCGGGUUGCUGGGCUGACACUGACGCUGAGGCGCGAAAGCCAGGGGAGCAAACGGG
RNAcentral lists this ribosomal RNA (253 nucleotides) under uncultured bacterium. RNAcentral's name for it is "partial 16S ribosomal RNA". It matches the Rfam family "Bacterial small subunit ribosomal RNA", at positions 524 to 776 of the family's 1533-position model. The record is from RNAcentral.